Molecule: transfer RNA, 82 nt
Filed under: Penicillium salamii
Lineage: Eukaryota; Fungi; Ascomycota; Eurotiomycetes; Eurotiales; Aspergillaceae
Description: tRNA-Leu
Rfam family: tRNA
About the family: Transfer RNA (tRNA) molecules are approximately 80 nucleotides in length. Their secondary structure includes four short double-helical elements and three loops (D, anti-codon, and T loops).
Source: RNAcentral
UGGCAAGAUGACCGAGUGGUUAAGGUGAUACGUUUAGGCCGUAUUGGCGAUGCCGCGUGGGUUCGAAUCCCACUCUUGUCAU